UUUUUUUUUCUUUUUCAGAGUUGUAGAUUUUGCUUUUUGGGUGGUAAAUUAAAGGGAACUGUUCUAGUGUUUUUGACUGAACCAAUUCCGAGAUUCUUUUUAGAGUCCCAAAAUACAGACACAAAUUUCUGACUCACCGAGAAAUUAGUUGAAAAAAAGCCCAGAAAUAUGACAAAGAAAAUGGCAAAACUUGUAGUUUCCCCGAAAAUCAUGCCUGGUUUUGUCUCCAUCCCCCCAGUUGAUUAAUCAUCGUAUAGUUCAUUCAAGAUUUAUACUCCACUCCCGUCUCCUCUGUUUCAUCGCAUAUUAACGUAUUGUAAACUUGUACUUUUUUACUGAAAAAAUUUGCGUUCUUUAUUUGUUUUUUGUUUAGGUUUAUUUGUUAUAAUGUUCUUGGUAGUGGCGUCCAAUCAAUAACAUACACCUCGUACCCCCAGCCCAACCCCAGCCCAUUAUCUUUCUCGGCAGUGUAACACAAAGGAAACGCAGACAUGAGAUCAUUCACAAGAAACAAGAUUUCAGCACUUGCAUAAAAAUCAUAGCCAGAGUUCUUUCUUUCACACACAAAGUAAAUUAUAAUUUUUCUGUGUUGAGAAAUGGAGAAAUUCAUUCUUGUGGUUAACUGUGAGCUCAAAUCCAGUGGAAUAGUGUAGAACAGAGUAAAGGGUCUUGUGUUUUAAGUUUUCCAUUUGCACGAGGAAAAGUUUUACCUUUCAUUUUACUUCUCAUUUCACUCUGAAAGCAAGAAACAAGAUUUCAGAACUUGCAUAAAAAUCAUAGCCAGAGUUCUUUCUUUCCACACGAAGUAAAUUAUAAUUUUUCUGUGUUGAGAAAUGGAGAAAUUCAUUCUUGUGGUUAACUGUGAGCUCAAAUCCAGUGGAAUAGUGUAGAACAGAGUAAAGGGUCUUGUGUUUUAAGUUUUCCAUUUGCACGAGGAAAAGUUUUACCUUUCAUUUUACUUCUCAUUCCACUCUGAAGAAUGGAUUGUAAGAGCUUCAUACCAGGGAAUUUGGAUCCAGAGAGGAAAAGGAGUGGUGGGUUGAGAACAAAACAGGCUGGGCGUGGGUCUUGCAGAGGAAGUUAGGCUAAAAACC
RNAcentral lists this long non-coding RNA (1094 nucleotides) under Olea europaea (common olive). RNAcentral's name for it is "long non-coding RNA (OEUR_LNC011532)". Lineage: Eukaryota; Viridiplantae; Streptophyta; Magnoliopsida; Lamiales; Oleaceae. The record is from RNAcentral.